Musa acuminata AAA Group (dessert banana) is the source of this 5391-nucleotide RNA transcript. It is a transcript of the gene named pentatricopeptide repeat-containing protein At2g41720-like, with no coding region annotated. NCBI's taxonomy places the organism in Eukaryota, Viridiplantae, Streptophyta, Magnoliopsida, Zingiberales, Musaceae. The transcript is spliced from 14 exons. The record is from RefSeq and is a predicted model, not a curated record.
GCUGCUCUUCUCCUCCUCCCGCCGCUGCUCGACAUCGUAUGUUAUCAUCCUCUCCUCUGGUCGUGGUCUUAUGUCAGAGCUUCUUGUUCUUGAACCUUUUUGGCUUUUCUUGGUUCUUGAGACUUGGUGCGAUCUCGACCGGGCUUUCAGUUUCGUCGGGGAACGGAACCGCUAUAGCCCCCGAGAUCGCGAGCAUAGGUGAAGCUUGGCGAACUGCCAUAUCCUCCAAGAUCUCGUCGAGCUGUGGCCGGCACAAGUCCAAUGGAUUGCAGCAGCGCGCUCUCCACCAAACCCGUCCCUCCCGCUCCUCCAAACCCCUCCUCCGCGAACCUCCCGGAAUCCCCGACUCCGCAGCGCAAGAUUUGGAUCAAGCCGACGGCUCCGGCUUCCAAGAAGCAGCAGCAGCAGCAGCGGAGGAAGAAAGGGUCUGGGUGGGACGAGAAGAGGGUGGUGGGUGUCGUGGAUUACGACGAGGGCGAGCGCCGCGUCUCUACCGAGAUCAGCGGGGCCCGCAAGGAUGAGAUCCCUGCGAGGUACCGUCUCCGCGUCGACGGCAGCCGCUGGCAGAAGGACUGGAAACUCUCCGAGGUCGUCGACCAGGUGAUGAGGCUGCGCCACUGGGAGGACAUCGAUGGCGUCCUCAACCGCUGGGCCGGUCGCUUCGCUCGGAAAAACUUCCCUCUCCUCAUUCGGGAAAUAACAAGUACUGGUUCCCUUGAUCAUGCUGUACAUGUGUUCCGGUGGAUGAAAAAUCAGAGACACUACUCUCCUCGGAGUGACAUCUACAAUAUGCUCAUUAGUCUGCAUGCCAAACAUAAUCAAACUGAUCAAGCACGUGGUUUAUUUUUUGAGAUGCAACAGUGGAGGUGCAAACCUGAUACUGAAACCUAUAAUUCUCUCAUUAAUGCACAUGGUCGAGUUGGUCAGUGGCGUUGGGCUGUGAAUAUUAUGGAAGAUAUGCUUCAAGCUGCUAUACCUCCUAGCCGAACUACAUACAAUAAUUUGAUUAGUGCUUGUGGAUCUGGUGGCCACUGGAAAGAGGCUCUUGAAAUUUGCAAGAAAAUGACAGAAAAUGGUGUGGGGCCUGAUUUGGUGACUCAUAACAUUAUUUUAUCAGCUUUCAAAAGAGGAGCUCAAUAUUCAAAAGCUCUGGCUUACUUUGAUCUGAUGAAAGAAACAAAUAUUUGCCCCGACACUAUCACUUUUAAUAUAGUUAUACAUUGCCUUGUUAAGCUUGGACAAUUUGGAAAAGCAGUGGAUGUUUUUAACUCAAUGCGAGAGAGAGGUGCAAAGUGUCAGCCUGAUAUAGUUACUUUUACCUGCAUCAUUCAUGCAUAUUCAACUUGUGGACAAAUUGAGAAUUGCAAGGUGGCAUUUGAUAUGAUUCUUGCUGAAGGACUGAAACCUAAUAUUGUUGCUUAUAAUGCACUAAUUGGUGCCUAUGCUUCUAAUGGAAUGCAUACAGAGGCAUUGGCCACUUUUAAUUUACUUAAACAUGCAGGAUUGAGACCUGAUGUUGUAUCAUACACUUCCUUACUUAAUGCUUAUGGCCGAUCAGGACAGCCCGAAAAGGCUAAAGGAGUCUUUGACAUGAUUAAACAGAAUUCGUUGAGGCCAAAUAUUGUUAGUUACAAUGCAUUAAUUGAUGCAUAUGGAUCUUCAGGUUUGUUGGCUGAAGCCAUAGGAGUGUUGCAUGCCAUGGAAGAAGAUGGUGUUCAUGCAGAUAUUGUCUCAAUAAGCACACUUUUGGCAGCUUGUGGUCGAUGUAGUCAAAUUGUAAACAUUGACUCUGUACUAUCAGCGGCUAGAUCACGACGGAUUAAGUUAAACACAGUUGCAUACAACUCGGCAAUUGGGAGCUAUAUGAGUGUGGAGGAAUAUGAUAAAGCUGUAUCUUUAUACAGGUCAAUGAGAGAAGAUAAUAUAAAACCUGAUUCCAUUACUUUCAAUAUACUAAUUAGUGGUUCUUGUAAGGUGAAAAAAUAUGCAGAGUCCUUACAGUUUUUGGAUGAGAUGAUGGACCUAAAUAUUCCAUUUUCCAAGGAGGUUUACUCAUCUCUGAUCCACUCAUACAGCAAACAGGGCCAGCUAACAGAGGCUGAAUCUAUUUUCAAUAUGAUGAAGGGGACUGAUUGCUCACCUGAUGUUAUAACAUACACUUCCAUGAUUCAUGCAUAUUCUAUAGCAGGGAACUGGAUGAAAGCCUGGGAGCUGUUUGAAGACAUGGAAAGAAAUAACAUUCAGCCAGAUCCUAUUCUAUGUUCAUCAUUAAUAGAAGCCCUGAACAUUGGAUGCCAACCUGAGAAGGUUCUUUGGUUGGCAGAAUUGAUGAGAGAGAAGUCUAUCCCAUUAAACACAAGUGCUUCUUUUUGGGUCAUAUAUGCUUGCAGCAUGGUAAGAGACUGGAGGGCAGCAAGCAAAACAAUUGAAUGUAUGGAGACAUCAUUCUCAUCAAUUUCGCUUGGUCUCUUAAAUCAGAUUCUGCAUUUCCUUGGAAAGAGUGGAAAGAUUGAGACCAUGAUGAAGGUUUAUUACAAGAUAUUAUCCUCACAUUCAAACAUCAGCUUGGUAACACACACAAUUUUGUUGAAGAAUCUUUUAGCAUCUGGAAGAUGGAGGAUGUGUAUUGAGGUUUUGCAGUGGAUGGAAGAUGCAGGAAUUCAACCAACACUAAACAUGUAUCGCAAUGUUCUUUCAUAUGCUAGGAAGGACAACAGCGUGGAACAUGCUAAUCUCAUCCAAGAAAGAAUAAGUAACUUAAGAGGCAAGAUCGACUAAGGCUUAACUAAGCUAUGAAAAUCGAUGCCCUUUAAUGGAAGGAGCAAGUGAAACCCAGUGGUCAUAAGAAUGCCUACUAAUUUCCAGAAGUUGUACAUUCAUGUGAAAGGCAUGAAUGAUCUAAUGUCGGCACUUUAAUAAUACUCUAGCUGAUCACUCAACUUUGGCUCUGGGAGCCCUAGGGUUUCUUUGUCUGCAACUGUUCAUCUUGGUAGGAAAAGGAAGAAGAGUAAAAGAGAAGAGGAAGAGGAGAUUCCUCUCUUGUUCCUCGCCUGAGAAAGAUUAUAUACUUUGAUUAUGUUUUUGAGGUGACAGGAUUCAGGUCUUCAUUCUGCUAACGAUAUUCAGGUCUCUCUCUCCAGCUCUCUCUCUCUCUCUCUCUCUCUCUCUCUAUAUAUAUAUAUAUAUAUAUAUACACACACACACAAGUUGAUGGAUAUGCAUACAGACACAGCAUUUCAGAUUUAAUCAUGUAUGUUCUCGUGAGAUCUCUGCACCACAAGAACUGCAGGUGACUGAAAUAGUGUGUUCACUGUUACUAUGUACUGAUAUACACCAUUUGAAACCAUUUUUCAAUUGCUACUCUAGACAUGAUAACUUUAUCAAAUUUUUUGUUCCAGUAGAGCAUAUACUAAUCUUCUUUUCGUCUCCUCAAGUGGUUAUCAUCUUGUUUUCAUUGUAACAGGGACGAGAUCACCAUCUGUCAUGUUGAUCAUCUUACUUUGGCAUUGUCAAAGUAAACAAAUAUCACCAGGUUCUUGGUGGAAAUAUAUCCAUAAGAUGUUGAUUUCAGCUACCCCGGAACAAGGUAGCUAGUCAUCAAUUUGGUGCAAUCCCCACCAGAUGAACCAGUGAUCAAGUCAUGAAGGAAAUCUUUAUAAAAGUCGGUGGAGUUGCUGAAUACACUGUGGCAAAAGAUGAGAAAUUGGAAAGGUAGCAAUCCUGACACUGUAUAAUGGCUGUUAUUAUUUGCUGUUAUUAUUUCUUUAGAUGCAUAAUGGACAUUUAUGGAGCUGUGAGAGUACAAUUCGUGACAUCUCAACCUGCCCCACAGGCAUGGAAGGUUAGUAAUUUUUAUGAAUAUCCACAACCUAUGGUCUAAUCAGGUUUUAGUUGAUCCAAAUAUACAACUAAUCUCUGCAUCUGCAGUGACAACAAAAAAUUGGCAAUAUUAGUCACAGAAUCAAUCAUAUUGCUGUGGAUACUAAUUUAACAUGUAAAUAGCAAAGAUAAAAGGGUAAAGAUAUCAUGUAAACAUGUCAAUUGGUAGUAUAAACACUGGCAAUUAGUUCCUGAAAAUAGUCACCCGUUUAGCCAUGCAUAUGAGCAGUAGGAGACUACUCUGAUAAUUCAGCUUUUUACAGUGCGAUCUUAAUCAUCUGAUAAACUCCGUGUCCACUUUCUAGAACAUCAUCAUCUUCACCCCAAUGCUACUUUUUUUCUUCUCUUGUUUCUGGUGGAAGUUGUCUACCUUUAGAGAUGAUACUUUUUGUUAUAUCUAUAGUAAAAUUUGUAACUAAAUACAGAUAUGAAACAUAAUAAUCAUGGUGACAAUUUUGAAGUAUAGUAAAAAUUGUUGACGAGCAUGUUGGAAAGAGGAGCGAUGGGUGAGUAGAUGCGACGAGCGAUCGAUGAUCAAGCAAGUGCAAUGAGUGAGCAGGAUCGAUAGGUGUGUCAGAAUCCGGUGUGGGCCCUCACAGGGUCCAUCUACUGGGAAAGAAGGCUUGCCUCUAAGAGCCAAGUUGGCCGCUUCCGCUCCUCGAGCCACCGUGACACUUCAACCUUUUUGCUGCUCCGUUCUUCAUGUACGUUUCAUCUCCAUGACUCUUCAUUCGAGUGAUCAUUCUUUGUCUUCGUCUUCUAGUGCUCUGCACACGAACGAUCGGUUUUUGGUUCGAGAUCUCGAUAUUGAACACCUAAGGAAGUUUCGCCAGUAGCAUGGCGUCCACCUUCGUCGCUGCUACGGAAGCAGGCAAGGAACAGCAGCACCAGCACCACGGCCGCGAGUGCAACCAGCAUCAGCGGGCAACUCCUUCGCCACGGACCCAGAGGAGGAAAUGGUCCUCCGUCUCCUCCGCCGGCGACAAAGUGCGUGUGCGCUCCGGCGACGCACGCCGGGUCGUUCGAGUGCAGUCUCCACCGAGUCAACUCUCAUGGCCGCUCUGCGGCGCCGCCCAUGGCCUCUCCUAAUCACCAGCCGCCCACGUCUUCUUCAUCUACAACCCUAUUGCACGAGAGCUAUCAGCUUCCCUUGGCACGUGAAACUUCGACUCUGCAACUGCCUGAGACGUGCAAUGACGAGAGUUUGCUACAGAAAGUUCUUAAACAGAUGAUGAGAUGCUAGAUAACAAAGAUGAAGACGCGUUGAAAUUUCGUCACCACACUUGCAGAGAGUUUGCGUGAAGAAACAGUUAGAAGGCAUUUAGUUGCAAUACCGAUGCAAAGGCUUUUAACUCAAGAAAGCUGAAAUGGUAGCAGUGAUACUUCAUACACUAAUGGCUUGCUGAAAUAAAUUAGCUCAAGCAAAAGAACAACUUUCCUCCACAAACUAUGCUGGAGAGCUCCAAGUCAAAAAGCUUACACAGCAUGAAAAAUCAAUAUAUGAUUCCUAUG